CAGGAAAUCGGGGAGUAACAUUAAAUAUGGCGGAAAGGAUUCAAAUUGCUAUCGACGUCUCCCAUGCCAUAGCAUAUCUGCAUACAUAUACAGGUUUGCUCUAUAAGAGUUUCAGAUGUAAAUAAGGGGGAGAGAUAAUCAGUCCCUUUUCAUUAACAUUGAGUAGAUUAUAUAUACAAUUCAGUAUAACAGAAAUCAGUUAUACUCUGUACUACAAAUGCUAACGAAAUGACUAAUUAGCCGAUAGAAGUAAUUAACUAUUUAUGUUAAGAAUAUAGCUAUUGUGAUUAAUAGAACUAAUUCUAACAUAUCACUGAUAUGCUUUGAAAACCAUUGAGCAGAUGACUAAUGCUGAUGAAUUAUGAUGCUCAAUAUCGCCACAAAGGCGGCUAGUUUUGAAAUUUCAUGCAAAAAGAGAAAAUUAUAUCGAUGAUUUAGUGAUAAAAACAAUAUUUUUAUCUCCACAGACGAGCCUAUCAUUCACAGAGACGUAAAAGCAUCAAACAUUCUCAUCACAGAGAAACUUAGAGCUAAAGUUGCAGAUUUUGGAUUUGCACGUCUUGUUUCUGAGGAUCCAGAAACAACACAUGUGCUCACACAAGUGAAAGGAAGUGCAGGGUAUUUAGAUCCGGAGUAUCUAAGAACAUACCAACUAACGGAAAAGAGUGAUGUGUAUUCAUUUGGGGUGGUUCUUGUGGAAUUGAUGUCCGGAAGACAUUCGAUUGAACCUACCAGACCAAGAGAAAAGAUAACCACAAAAUGGGUAAGAUUUAAGAAACCAAGAGACCCUAAUUAAAUUCAAUAAUGCACACUGACCGAAAAUGCUGUAUAUAUCAGGCAAUGCAAAAAUUAAAACAAGGUGAUUCGGUGAUGGUGAUGGAUCCAAACCUGCGAAGAAACCCAGCAUCAAUUGAAGCUUUGGAAAGAAUUUUGGAUCUGGCACGGCGUUGUCUAGAACCAUCGAGACGACACAGACCGAUGAUGAAGACGUGCGCAGAGAUAUUAUGGAGCAUCAGGAACGAUUUCAAGAAGAAUAACAGAGAGCAAGCAUCAGAACAAUCAUCCCCACAGCAUU
RNAcentral lists this long non-coding RNA (1075 nucleotides) under Zostera marina. RNAcentral describes it as "long non-coding RNA (ZMAR_LNC005634)". The record is from RNAcentral. Lineage: Eukaryota; Viridiplantae; Streptophyta; Magnoliopsida; Alismatales; Zosteraceae.